UGUCCCCACCCGUCAAAGGCCCAGCCAAAUUCCCUCCCUUCUAAUUCACCCGCGGAGGGACGCCGCUAAAAGCCACAACCCACCCCGCAUUUUCUUCAUAGAUAGAUUCAUCUGGUUCUCUUCUUCCCCAGAUUGCAGCGACCGGCGAUGGCACUUUUGGGGAGGUCGCCCUGCGCCCAGGCCGUGCUCGGGCCUCGGAUCUAGCGUAACAACAUGCCCCGCGAGCACCCCUCUUCUCCCAGAUUGCAGCCACCGGCGACGGCAGAUUGGAGCAGGCCGCCACACCGGCCGAGAUGGGAUCCACCGCACCGACCCUCCCUGUGAGAACCCGACCCUCUUGUCUCCCCAAUUGAAGUGACCAGCAACGACUCUCUAGGUAAUUUCCUCAUUCCGCCCUCCCCAUCCUGCCAGCCCCUAAUGUUCAAAGAAUAGGGUUCAUGCAUAGUACUCCUCAUCCCGGCCCAUCUCGGUAAUUAGGAUUUUUCAAAGUUUGUAAUCUGCAAUGAUUAGGCUUCGUUCAUACUGUACAUUUGAUCUGUUGUUUAACUUAACUGUGGAUGCACCAUAUUUUCAUGGAUUUUAUUCAGGGCCGCACCAGAGAAAUCAGAGUCCAUGUAAAUCAAAAUUAGGCCCUACGUGUGAAAAAGCAAAUAAUUCUUUUGCAGUCGCUGCAGUUUUUUGACAAAAGAUUACACAGGUUCAGAAAAGACCAGCAAAUAGUAAGUGAGAGAGAGGGCAGAUAUAAAGCGCUGAGAGGAUUUGAUGCAUUGUGAUUAGAGAGAGAUACAGUGGUUGGGUUGGCAAAACAUAUUUUCAUCAGUUCUUUACUUUACUAUAUAAUGCUUAAUUGAGAACUUUGAUUAAAAAGAAUUUGGGGCCCUCCGGUUCUGGAGGCCCUGUUUGGCUUUGCAACAGUGAAAAAUAUGCGUAGAGCAUUCAUAUAUAUAGCACAGUGCAUUCUGCUUUUGCAACAGAGCCUCAAAAGCAUCAUACAGCAAUGUCUUGGCCAUCUCAAAUUUUCUACAAGUAUAUUACAUAAGUACAGAGAAGCAUCAAGUCCAGGAUUUAGUAUAAUGGAACACAAGAUGGCUUAUAUUUAGUACAAUGGUAUUUUAUUUGGAUGUACAGUGCAACUGCCAGGCUUCAAAAAUUGCUGGCAUACAAGUCCUAAAUUGUGUUUUUGUAAGAUUCAGGUAUCUACCAAAAGGCAUCUUUUGUAGUUUAAUUAAGUCGUACUUCUGAUUUGGACUUGAAACUUCAAUUUUCAGAUUGAAGGAGGCCGCCGCACCGCCGAUCUUGGAUCCACCGCAUCAACCUGACUCGAGCACCCGGCUUUCUUCUCCCCUGCAAUGGGCAAUGUCUCUCAGUGAUUUACUCAUCCUGCCCUCCUCAUGUCGCCACCGCUUGAUGUUCAGUGAUUCGGCUUCAUGCAUACUACUCGUCAUCCUGCUCUUCUAUGUAAUUUAGGAUUUGCCACAACUUGCUAUGGUAAAAAGCUUGAACCUCUUGCCAAUUAACUUUUGAUAUCCUAUUGAUAUGUGUGUAAAACUGCACUAGUGAACAUGGUUUUGCAUUUGUUAUAGCCUGCUAUUGUAAAAAGGCCUGAACCUGAAUAUAUGCUACUGCAGUAUAGUUAGCCGUUGUGCAAAAGUUCAGUUAGCUAUCAGAUGCAUGGCCUUAGCUGAGAGAUUUCUUUUGCAGCCAUGUGCUUGUAUGGCUACUCUCGCAUACAAAAGGAAACUAUAUGUUGACCAUCUGAUUGUUGAACCCUGCUGUAAUGACAAAAACUAGAUCCUCUUGAUCGCUGAAUGGUGUCAUAAUCAGAUGAACAUAAACACAUGAACUAAAGUAUGCAUGUACAAGCAGGAAGCAGCGCAUCCUUGUAUCAUUGCAUCCUUGUAUCUACAUGUCCGAAUAAACAGCUUCUGGAUGCAACUACUAUAUGUAUGCUAAAACCUGAAACUUAUGGUUCUGCUGUCCCAUAAAUAGUACUUCAAUAGUGUUGUUAAAACUGAAUAAAGACUGAGCUUGCACUUAAUUUUGACUUGCUACAGAGAUGUAUAGCCCUGCACCAGUGUACUUUUCUCUCCACUACUAGAUAAAAGAGAACUAAAAUUAAUCUUUUCCAUGCCUCUCCUAAUUGAUUAGCUACCCAUGAUGUUAAGCAUCUAAAGCCCACAAGCAUUUUCAGUACGCCUAGAAAUUGAUACAAGCAGAUACAUGGUAAACUUCAGUUUUUGACUAUAUUAUGACAUACUAAACUGGGUAAAUCAAUAUGUUCCUAAUUUUGGAUGAGUAUAGUAAAUUUUCUGGUUUUCUGAACUAUGCCAGCAGCUACAGUAAUCAUAUUUUAUUGAUGUUUUUAUUCUGAACAUUCUGAUCUUGUUUUUCAUGGUUUGUUGUCUGCUUCUCCCUGACUGUGCCCCAGCUGCAUCAUGCAUGUUGAUUGCUUCACAUGUUAGAUCCCAAUGAAUGAAAUCUUCAUUUUCUAUUUAUAUAAUCUGACAUGAACUGCUUGUUGGCAGUGCUGCCUGUUUACGUCUAUUUUACGCAAUCUAGUUCUUUUUGUCUACGACCAAUGCGAAGCCAAAUUUUAACAGGUAAGUCAAUGUAAUCAGUUGUGUUACAAGUACUCCAUCCAUAUGCUUACCCAUAGUGCAAGAAAGAGUAAAUGCUUUUCAUUAAUUUCACUUUAACUAUUACUUAUAUAUAAUAUUAGUGCAUCAUGUGUUUGCAUCCUAACUUAUCUACUUUAUUAUAUUCAGAUGUAAGCUACAGAAAAGUACAUUUGCACAUAUAAAAUGGCUGCAUCUUUUAAGUUACUAAAAUAAUGCCACCAAGCGAGAGCAUGUGAAGAGACGCAUAGUAAGCAACACGAAGAAUUGGAAGCUGUGAAGAAGAGCGAGUAAGAGAAGAAUGAAGCAUGGCAAAAGAAGCAACAUGAGAUGGAUAACCUCAUUGGUUUUCUCUUAAGGGUUCAAGCAAGUCAGCAAGCAACUCAACGGUCCUAGUACAAACCAGAAGGUGCAUGAAGGCCAUCCUUUUGUGAUGGAAAUAGUUGUUGAAUCAUACAUUGCAAUCAUCAUGACAACACAUGUUGUUUUUAUUUAUCUAAAUAUUUCUUUUCAACUUGACUAUUGUUGUGUCAAACUCGUGAGUUGGUGUUAUUUUGUAUUGUCAUUUUCGCUUAGAGGACAAUUAGGCUGAGAGAUUGAAUAUAUAGUAUGAUUUCUCUUCCAUUUUA
Long non-coding RNA from Triticum aestivum (bread wheat), 3244 nucleotides. RefSeq lists it as uncharacterized. The transcript is spliced from 2 exons. Lineage: Eukaryota; Viridiplantae; Streptophyta; Magnoliopsida; Poales; Poaceae. The record is from RefSeq and is a predicted model, not a curated record.